Molecule: ribosomal RNA, 468 nt
Filed under: uncultured bacterium
Lineage: Bacteria
Description: partial 16S ribosomal RNA
Rfam family: Bacterial small subunit ribosomal RNA
Source: RNAcentral
GACGAACGCUGGCGGCGUGCUUAACACAUGCAAGUCGAACGGAAAGGCCCUGCUUUUGUGGGGUGCUCGAGUGGCGAACGGGUGAGUAACACGUGAGUAACCUGCCCUUGACUUUGGGAUAACUUCAGGGAACUGGGGCUAAUACCGGAUAGGAGCUCCUGCUGCAUGGUGGGGGUUGGAAAGUUUCGGCGGUUGGGGAUGGACUCGCGGCUUAUCAGCCUGUUGGUGGGGUAGUGGCUUACCAAGGCUUUGACGGGUAGCCGGCCUGAGAGGGUGACCGGCCACAUUGGGACUGGGAUACGGCCCAGACUCCUACGGGAGGCAGCAGUGGGGAAUAUUGCACAAUGGGCGGAAGCCUGAUGCAGCAACGCCGCGUGCGGGAUGACGGCCUUCGGGUUGUAAACCGCUUUCGCCUGUGACGAAGCGUGAGUGACGGUAAUGGGUAAAGAAGCACCGGCUAACUACGUG